UGUCCCUGACCUGGAUAGAGUGGCAUCUGGUUGGUGGUGCCCCUCUCAUAUCAGCCGGGGACAAAGCAACCCCUUGUUCAUCCCAGCUUGGCUUUUGAUCUGUACCUAUGCCUGGUUCAUGCCUUGGACACAUAG
Molecule: small nucleolar RNA, 135 nt
Organism: Aotus nancymaae (Ma's night monkey)
Lineage: Eukaryota; Metazoa; Chordata; Mammalia; Primates; Aotidae
Source: Ensembl